CUUGUCCUCAUGUGUAAGUCGCUUUGGAUAAAAGCAUCUGCUAAAUGACUAAAU
Molecule: non-coding RNA, 54 nt
Organism: Danio rerio (zebrafish)
Lineage: Eukaryota; Metazoa; Chordata; Actinopteri; Cypriniformes; Danionidae
Source: Rfam